RNAcentral lists this long non-coding RNA (338 nucleotides) under Lathyrus oleraceus (garden pea). RNAcentral describes it as "Pisum sativum (pea) long non-coding RNA (PSAT_LNC039337)". Lineage: Eukaryota; Viridiplantae; Streptophyta; Magnoliopsida; Fabales; Fabaceae. The record is from RNAcentral.
AGAUGACAAAGUAGGUUCAGAUAGCUCAGGGUGUGGUUGUACACUUAGGAAUGUUAGAAUAAGAUUUUAUUUCUGCAAUAUAUCUCUAAGUUUUGAUGAUAACAAAGAAUGAAACAAUUUGGUACCCUAAUAAAUUUCUCAAGUGUGCAGGUUUCUAAGAAAAAAUGAAUCUGAUGAAAACAAUGUCUGACAACUAACGAAACUCAGAACAACUGAUCCAACAAUGAAGAAAUCAUAUCUGACUCCGAACAAGAACACUCCUUAAAGAAUCACAUAAAAAAUCUGAUAUUAAAGUUCAUAUUUGAUAUCUGAAGUCUCUACAUCUAAAGACUCUGAAG